This 921-nucleotide ribosomal RNA is filed under the name uncultured bacterium. RNAcentral describes it as "bacterial SSU rRNA". It matches the Rfam family "Bacterial small subunit ribosomal RNA", at positions 597 to 1504 of the family's 1533-position model. The record is from RNAcentral.
UGUCCACGGCCUCCCAGCUCGAAAGUGCAUCUGUCAUUCAUGUAGCGUGAGAGGUGUCAGAGGUAAGACGAAAGUGAUAUUGGAGCUGUAAAAUGUCGUUGAUAUAGUCAGAAACAGCAGCGCCAAUAGCGACUUAGUGUUUCUGGUCUGUAACUGAGGCUGAGAAGCUAGAGGAGCGAACGCGAUCAGAUAUUAGAUGUAGUCCUAGUCGUAACCGAUAUGUACUAGUCUGUGGGGGCUUCCACUCUCUCUCGGACGUAGCGAAAGUGAUAACUACAGCCACUGGGGAGUAUGGUCGCAAGGGCAAAACUCAAAGGAAUUGGAGGGGGCUCACACAAGCGGUGGAGGAUGUGGCAUAAUUUUUAAUUUACGCGAAGAACCUUACCCAGGCUUGGUGUGUCUAGGAUUUCCUGUGAAAGCAGGAAGUGCCCUUUCGGGGAACCUUAGCGCAGGUGGGUGCAUGCAUGUCGUCAUCUCGUGUCGUGAGAUGUCGGGUUAAGUCCUUUAACGAGGAAAACCCUUGUCCUUAGUUGCCAGUGAGUAAUGUCGGGGACUCUAAGGAGACUGCCGGUGUUAAACCGGAGGAAGGUGGGGAUGACGUCAAGUCCUCAUGGCCCCUAUGCCUGGGGCUGCACACGUCUUACACUGCGGCGGACAAAAAGAUGCAAGAUCGUGAGAGGGAGCAAUCCUCUGAAAACGCCGCCCAGUUCGGAUUGCAGGCUGAAAUUCUCCUGCGCGAAGCCGGAAUCGCUAGUGAUCGCGGAUCAGCACGCCGCGGUGAAUGUGUUCCUGAGCCCUGUACACACCGCCCGUCAAGCCACGAAAGUUUGGGGGGCCCGAAGUCACGAUGCUAACUCUCAAGCGAGCCAGGCGUUGAAAUCAACCAGAUGAUUGGGGCUAAGUCGUAACAAGGUAGCCGUA